GACGAACGCUGGCGGCGUGCUUAACCCAUGCAAGUCGAACGGAAAGGCUCUGCUUUUGUGGGGUGCUCGAGUGGCGAACGGGUGAGUAACACGUGAGUAACCUGCCCUUGACUUUGGGAUGACUUCAGGAAGCUGGGGCUAAUACCGGCUAGGAGCUCCUGCUGCAAGGUGGGGGUUGGAAAGUUUCGCCGGGUGUGGAUGGACUCGAGGCUUAUCAGCUUGUUGGUGGGGUAGUGGCUUACCAAGGCUUUGGCGGGUAGCCGGCCUGAGGGGGUGACCGGCCACAUUGGGACUGAGGGACGGCCCAGACUCCUACGGGAGGCAGCAGUGGGGAAUAUUGCACAGUGGGCGGAAGCCUGAUGCAGCAACGCCGCGUGCGGGAUGACGGCCUUCGGGUUGUAAACCGCUUUCGCCUGUGACGAAGCGUGAGUGACGGUAAUGGGUAAAGAAGCACCGGCUAACUACGUG
This 468-nucleotide ribosomal RNA is filed under the name uncultured bacterium. RNAcentral's name for it is "partial 16S ribosomal RNA". It matches the Rfam family "Bacterial small subunit ribosomal RNA", at positions 28 to 507 of the family's 1533-position model. The record is from RNAcentral.